AGAUUGAACGCUGGCGGCAGGCCUAACACAUGCAAGUCGAGCGGUAGAGAGGUGCUUGCAUCUCUUGAGAGCGGCGGGCGGGUGAGUAAUGCCUAGGAAUCUGCCUAGUGGUGGGGGAUAACGUUCGGAAACGGACGCUAAUACCGCAUACGUCCUACGGGAGAAAGCGGGGGACCUUCGGGCCUCGCGCCAUUAGAUGAGCCUAGGUCGGAUUAGCUAGUUGGUGAGGUAAUGGCUCACCAAGGCGACGAUCCGUAACUGGUCUGAGAGGAUGAUCAGUCACACUGGAACUGAGACACGGUCCAGACUCCUACGGGAGGCAGCAGUGGGAAUAUUGGACAAUGGGACGAAAGCCUGAUCCAAGCCAAUGCCGCGUGUGUGAAGAAGGUCUCGGAUUGUAAAGCAACUUUAAGUUGGGAAGGAAGGUUUAGUAACUUAAAUUACGUUGACUAAUUUGACGUUAACCGACAAGAAUAAGACACCGACUAACUCGCGACCAGCAGCCGUACG
Molecule: ribosomal RNA, 510 nt
Filed under: uncultured soil bacterium
Lineage: Bacteria
Description: bacterial SSU rRNA
Rfam family: Bacterial small subunit ribosomal RNA
Source: RNAcentral